RNAcentral lists this ribosomal RNA (433 nucleotides) under uncultured bacterium. Its description in RNAcentral is "partial 16S ribosomal RNA". It matches the Rfam family "Bacterial small subunit ribosomal RNA", at positions 29 to 507 of the family's 1533-position model. The record is from RNAcentral.
AACGAACGCUGGCGGCAGGCCUAACACAUGCAAGUCGAGCGAGAUCUUCGGGUCUAGCGGCGGACGGGUGAGUAACGCGUGGGAAUAUGCCCUUCUCUGCGGAAUAGCCUCGGGAAACUGAGCGUAAUACCGCAUACGCCCUUUGGGGGAAAGAUUUAUCGGAGAAGGAUUAGCCCGCGUUGGAUUAGGUAGUUGGUGGGGUAACGGCCUACCAAGCCGACGAUCCAUAGCUGGUUUGAGAGGAUGAUCAGCCACACUGGGACUGAGACACGGCCAAGACUCCUACGGGAGGCAGCAGUGGGGAAUCUUAGACAAUGGGGGCAACCCUGAUCUAGCCAUGCCGCGUGAGUGAUGAAGGCCUUAGGGUUGUAAAGCUCUUUCAGCUGGGAAGAUAAUGACGGUACCAGCAGAAGAAGCCCCGGCUAACUCCGUG